RNAcentral lists this ribosomal RNA (257 nucleotides) under uncultured prokaryote. RNAcentral's name for it is "partial 16S ribosomal RNA". It matches the Rfam family "Bacterial small subunit ribosomal RNA", at positions 524 to 780 of the family's 1533-position model. The record is from RNAcentral.
UACGGAGGAUGCGAGCGUUAUCCGGAUUUAUUGGGUUUAAAGGGUGCGUAGGCGGCUUUUUAAGUCAGCGGUGAAAUUUUGCAGCUUAACUGUAACAGUGCCAUUGAUACUGGGGAGCUAGGAUUUGGUUGCUGUGGGUGGAAUGUGUGGUGUAGCGGUGAAAUGCUUAGAGAUCACACAGAAAAUCGAUUGCGAAGGCAGCUCACAAAGCCAAGAUUGACGCUGAGGCACGAAAGUGUGGGGAUCAAACAGGAUUA